UACAGAGGGGGCAAGCGUUGUUCGGAAUUACUGGGCGUAAAGGGCGCGUAGGCGGCCUUCUAAGUCGAACGUGAAAUCCCCGGGCUCAACCCGGGAACUGCGUCCGAGACUGAAAGGCUCGAAUCCGGGAGAGGGAUGUGGAAUUCCGAGGUGUAGCGGUGAAAUGCGUAGAUAUCUGGAGGAACAUCGGUGGCGAAGGCGGCAUCCUGGACCGGUAUUGACGCUGAGGCGCGAAAGCCAGGGGAGCAAAGCGGGAU
Molecule: ribosomal RNA, 257 nt
Filed under: uncultured bacterium
Lineage: Bacteria
Description: partial 16S ribosomal RNA
Rfam family: Bacterial small subunit ribosomal RNA
Source: RNAcentral